Molecule: long non-coding RNA, 1027 nt
Organism: Fundulus heteroclitus (mummichog)
Lineage: Eukaryota; Metazoa; Chordata; Actinopteri; Cyprinodontiformes; Fundulidae
Exons: 7
Source: RefSeq, a predicted model, not a curated record
CAGUCCACCCUCCAACAUUUUGCCGAUCCACAACUUCCACUAAGAAAAGAAGGACCGAAGGAGACAAUUAUUAACUCCACCAAUCUCCUGACCAACCUCAGCCUCAGUGGAUAUCCUCACUUCCUCUGCACUAGUACGACACUGUCUCUCCUCCUUCUACAACCUGUUCUCAACCCAUUUCAGUUUCAGAUACUAACCCACCUAUGUCUCAACUUAAAUAGGACUGAGUUUCCUGAGGGAGACUUCAGAUGUUCUGCUCACACAAGUGAGCUCUCCUUGAGAACCUCUACACCGCUCCUCUGUCUGCUCUCCUGGCUCAAGUGCUCCACGAUAACUCGUCACUCUCUCACCACCUGCCAGUUCACCCUCCAACAUUUUGCCGAUCCACAACUUCCACUAGGAAAAGAAGGACCGAAGGAGACAAUCAUUAACUCCACCAAUCUCCUGACCAAGCUCCGCCUCAGUGGAUAUCCUCACUUCCUCUGCACCAGACUGGGUUUCCCAAAGGAGUCUUCACAUUUACAAGAGAUAAUUGAUUCUAAAGUACUGACUUCCAUUCUCUGCGUCUGUUCUGAGAAAUCUCCUUAAGAACCUCCACACCGCUCCUCUGACCGCACUCCUGCCUGUACAUCCUCCAAAGUUGGUUUCACCAAUCAAAAACUUCAAGGACAAAAGACCAAGUUUCUGGAUACAGAUGGCAGGUUGUUGUCCUCACACAUGAGUCUGUUUGAAGAACUCUCCCUAAGACUCUCCACACCACUCCUCUGGCCACCCUCCUGACUCAAAGGCUCAUCUGUAACUUAUUGGUCACUCACCUCCUGGUGCACUCUCCAUCGUCCAAACAUCCAACCUUGAAGAGAAGGACAGAAGGAGACAAUAACUAAUUCAACCAAUCAUCAAUCUGUUGCCAACCUCAGCCUCUGCUGAUGAGUUCACCACCUGUGCACCAUGCCGUCCUGGAUUCUUGAUCUAAAACAAGAAGAAUCAUCUCACUGUGCAGAUUUACCAAUAAACCUUUCAAACUGUC